Molecule: long non-coding RNA, 793 nt
Organism: Coturnix japonica (Japanese quail)
Lineage: Eukaryota; Metazoa; Chordata; Aves; Galliformes; Phasianidae
Source: RefSeq, a predicted model, not a curated record
GUGCUGGAGGAUUCUUUACAAGGAAGCUCCUUGUGAGACUUCUGUCUGGGACAGGGCCCAGGGCUGCAAGGCUUGUUUCAACAACAGUCUGUCUGCACGAGCAUUUUGUUUUCAUUCUGUCCGUAUAAGACAAUUCUAUGUUUUCUUUUGAAUGUUUGAAGAACUGCAGGGUAAAACACCUGUAGAGGCAAAUUCAAAUCUAAACUACAAGGUCCAUCACCAAGGUGUUACAUUAAAGGGAGAAAGGGUCCAGCAUGCAGCAAAUUGAGAGCUUUGUGCUUUUUCAGCAUGUCCUAGAUCGAUCACUACUUGAAUAAUCCAGAGAGCCCAGCAGAUUUAACACCUGUGAGACUUCUAGAUCUGCAACUGACUCAAGCACCCUACAGUAAUGUGCUUCGACCCCAGGUUUCUUCCUUCACAAAGAAAAUCUACAAUAGGUUCUGUUGGUCCAGCUAUCCCACAGGGAACCGGAAGACAGCUCUGACUUACUAGAAACUCAGUCAUGGAGCCAUUCAAUUAACUGUGCUAUAAUAAAAGGUCAAAUGACGCACCAAAAUGUUUAUGUACACCUACAUUCUGUCAUGGCAUAAAUGCAUUUGAACAAAUCUUACUGAACUGAUCAAGGAAAAAAGUAAGGUUCUUUUUUUCUUCAUUUCUCCAUAUACUCCUUGUGCCACCUCUUUGUGUAUCAAAUGAAAAGAACUACAGGUACUUUCCCUGUGAAUGCACAUUCUUUAAAGCAUAUGAGUUUGUUUUGUUUUUUGUUUGUUUGUUUGUUUUAAAUUAAGCAUAA